GGAAUUAUUACCAUGAUAAAGCAGUUUUUUGUAUAGUUCAUUUCCCCUUACAUGCUGAGUAAAAUUGUUUUGGAGGUCAGAAAUGUGUUUAGCAUUUAAGGUAAAUGUUUUAAAGUUUCAGUCUUAGUCACUGUGUGUUUUAUUACUAAAAACAAGGGCAAAUAAUUAUUUUUAGUGAUAUUCGACGCACAAACUUUGAUUAUAAAAACAGUCACAUAAAUUCCUAUUGAAAAUUAUUAAAAUAAGUAAUUCUGUAUUUAAAAUCUGCUGCUUUGCUGCUGCUUUCAUUCCUUGACAUUGUGAUGACACUUACAUUGGAACUAAAGGAUGAAGCCGUGGCGCCGACUCCCGGCACAUCAGUUGGGCUGUGCCGCAGUGACAGCACCACAGGGAUUUGAUUCUGGCUCCCCUCACAAAAUCUUUUUUUUUUUUUUUUUUACCACCAGUGCCCAGGCAUGGCUAGCAUAGGUGUGGAUACAGUUGGGAGGGUGGUGUUUACUCCGGCUGUUGGUUGUGAGAUCCGUCACAGUUCUCUCUCACAGCAUUCCUGUUCCAUUCUCGAGUCCAGAGAGCGAUGGUGUGGCACACAUCUGUAGGCUGGUGGCCAGGGACGGUGCCUGAGCAAUCACAGCCACAUCAGCUCAUCUGAUGUGUUGUCAGAUGACGCACAAAACCUAACUCGCAACCUGCCUCCAGUGGUCUUUGGUGGAACUGCAACACUUUAAAGGCCUACUUUAGGUUUUGACCAGACCCAUACGCUCUGUUUUUAAAAACAAAAAUGUUAAUUUCAUUAAAGUUUCAAUUUAUGUUGAGCCCUUUAACACCAGAGCUUUAGAAUUCUGAAGAAAAGUAAAAAAGUUUUGUGUCGAUAUUCAGCACUUUACUGUAAUGACGUGUUUACACGUUGUGAAUCAGCCAAUCCACAUCAGAUUUUGUAGGAAUAACGUUAGUUCCCUUCAGUUCACUUUUCCCUUUUUUUGCGCAAUUUUGCAUGCUUUUUAUUGUCAUUUCUUUCAAACAACGCCUAGUGUGAUUGGUUGUAGACAUUGACAUUGUUCUACAAAGAUUUGAAUUUUGCAAAUUUAAACAGAAGAGAAAAUAAAGUAUAAAAAUGUUGAUUUAUGUCUAAAAAAAACCUGCAGUUUUGCGGGCUAAAAAACAUAGAAAAUUCUACUUACCUGAUUGCACCUGUUGCUGGUUAUUUUUUAAAAUGUAACCACUGGUAUAAAUGAGGGCAAAUUUAAUUUUGGUGUCGGCAACAAGCUAUGGUUUUGUAAGGUCCUUCUGGACGUAAUGAAAAAGCAGAGACGACCGGUUCCAACUGGGUUUUUUUUUUUUAUUGAACUCGUAACCACGCCGCUCUGACUUACUCGUACCUCAUUCUUCACACUCCCACAAACCUUCUUAUAUUGUCCUGCUCCUCCACCCAAAACCCACACUCAUCCAAUCACGUUCAUCCAACUGACUGGAGCGCCAACACAACACAGAACACAUGGAAAAAUCUCAACGUUGGUGGAUACAGUUUUGUCUUUUUUUCUUUUUUUUUUUUUCUUUUUUUUUUAUUGGCAGUAUGUUGGAUUUAAAGGUGGAGCCAAUGAAUUACCAUUUGUUUUUAGACAACAGGGUGAAGUAAACAUCAGUCAAAAUGGCUGCACCUCUUGAGGCUUCCUUUUUGGUGCUCUGAAUCCUUAAUCGCCCGCUGUCCAGUAAACUGCGAGGUUACCGAGACUGCCUGCAGCUAGCAGAGACACAAGGCCGAGGCAGUCUGAGGAGACAGAAAUGGACAAGUAAAACUUUUUACAAGGCGAUUUGAAAACAUUGCAGCAAGAGAAGUAAAGUGGUUCCUGUUUUUGAUCCUGCCUUUAAGACAUCCUAGACAGAUGUGGUUUGUGAUGAAUGCAGAUGUUCUUAAAUGUUUUUUAUUAGUCUCCUUCUGUCUUUUUAUUGUAAAGAUUAACUUAGUGCCUCCUGUAGACUUUUUAUUGUGAAUCUCAAUGUGCAAAGAUGAGAUGUUUUAUUUGUAUGUAAUUUAAAUUGCGCUGUCAUUCUGCUUUUGUAAUUUCGCUGCAAACUCAGGUUGUUGUAAAUAAAAAAAAUGGUUCUCAGUCAACUAAUUUGUAUUUCUCCAUUGGUCAAUCUUUCUGCUUAUUUAAAGACAAUGUGCCAAUGGAGUUAAAAUGUUUGAGUCAUUUCUAAGGGGCCUGUUUUUACAGAGGAUGAAUCAAC
Oryzias melastigma (Indian medaka) is the source of this 2226-nucleotide long non-coding RNA. RefSeq lists it as uncharacterized. The record is from RefSeq and is a predicted model, not a curated record. The transcript has 3 exons. Lineage: Eukaryota; Metazoa; Chordata; Actinopteri; Beloniformes; Adrianichthyidae.